This 449-nucleotide ribosomal RNA is filed under the name uncultured bacterium. Its description in RNAcentral is "partial 16S ribosomal RNA". It matches the Rfam family "Bacterial small subunit ribosomal RNA", at positions 329 to 793 of the family's 1533-position model. The record is from RNAcentral.
UCCCAGACUCCUACGGGAGGCAGCAGUGGGGAAUAUUGGGCAAUGGGCGCAAGCCUGACCCAGCAAUGCCGCGUGAAGGAAGAAGGCUUUCGGGUUGUAAACUUCUUUGACAGGGGAAGAGCAGAAGACGGUACCCUGAAAACAAGCCACGGCUAACUACGUGCCAGCAGCCGCGGUAAUACGUAGGUGGCAAGCGUUGUCCGGAUUUACUGGGUGUAAAGGGCGCGUAGGCGGGAUGGCAAGUCAGAUGUGAAAUCCGGGGGCUCAACCCCUGAACUGCAUUUGAAACUGUCGUUCUUGAGUACUGGAGAGGUUGACGGAAUUCCUAGUGUAGCGGUGAAAUGCGUAGAUAUUAGGAGGAACACCAGUGGCGAAGGCGGUCAACUGGACAGCAACUGACGCUGAGGCGCGAAAGCGUGGGGAGCAAACAGGAUUAGAUACCCCUGUAC